GACGAACGCUGGCGGCGUGCUUAACACAUGCAAGUCGAACGGAAAGGCCCUCCUUUUGUGGUGUGCUCGAGUUGCGAAAGGGUGAGUCACACGUGAGUAACCUGCCCUUGACUUUGGGAUAACUUCAGGAAACUGGGGCUAAUACCGGAUAGGAGCUCCUGCUGCGUGGGGGGGGUUGGGAAGUUUCGGCGGUUGGGGAUGGACUCGCGGCUUAUCAGCUUGCCGGUUGGGUUGUGGCUUAGGAAGGCUUUGACGGGUAGCCGGCCUGCGAGGGUGGCCGGCCAUAUUGGGCCGGCGCUAACGCCCGGACUCCUACGGGAGGCAGCAGUGGGGAAUAGUGCACUAUGGGCGGAAGCCUGAUGCAGCAACGCCGCGUGCCGGAUGACGGCCUUCGGUUUGUAAACCGCUUUCGCCUGUGACGAAGCGUUAGUGACGGUAAUGGGUAAAGAAGCACCGGCUAACUACGUG
Molecule: ribosomal RNA, 468 nt
Filed under: uncultured bacterium
Lineage: Bacteria
Description: partial 16S ribosomal RNA
Rfam family: Bacterial small subunit ribosomal RNA
Source: RNAcentral